GGUUUUUGGGUUGGCCUUUACUUACGAAUCAGAAUCUAACACCAUUCGUAAAGCGUGACGGACGCAGAUUACGCGUUGAAUGAGCCGUACAGAUCCCGAUUCCGGAUCAAUGGGUAGCUCGACAUCACGUGCUACGGAAGAGGGUUUAGGGUUCCUCGGUGUCCCGUGCUAUGGAGGCAAGCUCCCCGGUUGGAUCCCGGAGUCGAACUAAGAAGAGUCUGAAUCCGGUCGAUUCCAAUCAACAUCCCAGAAAUUUCUUUCCAUCUCUUCGUCGGAUGGGUUUCCUCUACAACAAACCUCGUGAUUUGUUACUUAGAAGGAUAUCUUGAUCACUCUGUUUCUUGUUGAAUGGAAAGGAUAUGUUGAUCCCUCUUAUUCGUGUUGAAUUUGCUCAAGUUUAUGUUUGUCUGGUGUCAUGUCAAAGGAAAGUAACAGGAUCUUUGUUAGUUUCAACUUUGUUAUCUACAUUCCAAUUUGAUGGGCUUGCGAGACGAGAGGAUUCUGACUGGUGUUGGCUCAUGGCUUUUCUUUGAGAUAACAUCGUCAAGUUUCUAAAAAUUAUACCUUGAUUGGCAAAAGAAUUCAUAAUUAGUUGUUCUAUUUGGUUUGCAUCUGAAAAAUAUCCGACAAGUAUCAUUAUCUGAUUCAUAUAUGAUAUGGAUUCCACAUGCAUUUUGAAUUGUGUAUGUUCUGUAGAUUGCUCUGAAGCUGUAUAUUUGUUUUGUCCAUGGGAUCAACUGAUUCUUUCCACAUGGAGUUUGGGCUUCUCUUUAGAGCCUCUCUUUCCCUGCUCGCUUUAUCAUGUCAUCAUGUUGCUGCUCUGUUUUUCAAUAUUGUUGCAAGAAACUAUUCCAGUCUGUAGAAUAAUUUGGUUAUCUUUGUCCUUUUCCUAUCCUUCUCUUCUUUAGAGUCUGGGUUUCUCUUCUUUCCUUUUCCUAUCAUGACAUUUUGCUCUUCAGCUUUCAUGUCAAAUAAUGUAACUGAUUGAAGAAAUGCUUCAAUAACACAGUAUACUGACCAAAAGAUUUUGGCAGUUGAGAGGAAUUACCUUGAGGUGCAACACAAGCUGGUGUAUCAAUUUGAAGAUAAACCUCACUACAGAUCUCCUUACCUUUUCAGAAGUGUAAGCAUGACAAAGUCUUCCAGUGUUUACUGAUCAGGUUCACAUGGGUGCCUGUGAUUCAGAUUUUGGUUCAAUUGCUACCAUUUGCAUAGUUAGCCUUAACUGAAACUGUUUAUUCAGUUGAUAGCAAUAUAAAUAGAUCUGCUGGAUAAUCUCAUUUCCCCUCCUCCAUGAUUAUUUUUCGAGCUGAGCAUUUAUAUAUUAUCAUUUUGUCUUGCUUCCAUCUUUCGUUUAAAGAUCCCUCCGUCUUUCAUCCAGCCAUCGACUGGGUCAUUGGCUUCAUCUGAUUAGAAUCUUGGCUUGAAGUUUGUCAUUGCUAUUGGACAGGAUACAUCAGGAGUUUUUCAUGAUGUAUAGAUUCCAAAGCCAUGGACAAGGGAGGUUUAUUGGCACUGCAAAAAAUCAAGCAAAUUGGUCAUCAAGUUAUAUGCAUGAAUGGCUUUGGCGCAUUAACUGGCCAUCAUAAAUUCAUGAUGAUACAUUUCUUAUUUGCCAUUGCAACAGGAUCAUGAGUUGUCUCAAUCUGAAACUGAGCUUUUACCAACUAUCAAGCCUCCAAGAACAGGCUGUGGAUCUGUGCAACAGAAGCUACCACAUGCAAGUGCAGUCCUCAUCGGACUUCUCAAGAGGUCUACGUUUCAUUUCUCCCCUCCAAGAACAUACCUUUCUGAGUGUACAGUGGGGUGCAGAGCCUGCAGCGACAUCUACAUCCAGUCUCCAAAUCACUAUCAUGUGUUUUUUGCUUUAUGCCUUCCUUUUCUGUCCACGUUUCUGGUGGUGUGGUUUUGCCAAGUACAUUGGUUUUCUGCUGCAUGGAAGCCAUCUAAAGAAGCCACAUGGUAGCUGCAUUGCUAAUUCAAAUCCGGCCUCAUGGAGUUUUCCUCAUAAUCAAGAAUAAAAGUUGAAAAGCUUUAUGCUGACUCAACUUGAGAAUGAUACAAAGAGAUUCCUUGUCUUCUAUAAAGAUUAGUACCAAAGUUUUUUCUCCUUGGUCAACUGGAGGACAGCCAAGUAUUCACUCACAGUGGAGCCCAAGCAAUAAGUGAUCAAGGAAAAUGACUCCCUCGCAACUUCCAGCUGCACAAGUCAACCAGCACAAGAGAUGAAGAUAGUACAUGAUGGCCUGAUGAUGAGAGUAACGAGCAUGAUCCAAGAAUCCAGCGCUAAUACAGCCCUCAGAUUUGUUACUGUGCUUUAAGUUCAGGACUUAUGUGUCUCUUUGUUUGCCAAAUUCCUGUACUUUGGAAAGAAGAACUCUGCAUUUCAACUACAACUGGGCUCCAAAUUAUAAAAGCCUAACUACUUUUUUGUGUUA
This is a long non-coding RNA of Musa acuminata AAA Group (dessert banana), 2438 nucleotides long. RefSeq lists it as uncharacterized. The transcript is spliced from 3 exons. NCBI's taxonomy places the organism in Eukaryota, Viridiplantae, Streptophyta, Magnoliopsida, Zingiberales, Musaceae. The record is from RefSeq and is a predicted model, not a curated record.